This 253-nucleotide ribosomal RNA is filed under the name uncultured bacterium. RNAcentral describes it as "partial 16S ribosomal RNA". It matches the Rfam family "Bacterial small subunit ribosomal RNA", at positions 524 to 776 of the family's 1533-position model. The record is from RNAcentral.
UACGGAGGAGGCAAGCGUUAUCCGGAAUUAUUGGGCGUAAAGCGUCCGUAGGUGGCUAGUCAAGUCUGCGGUCAAAGACUGGGGCUUAACCCUGGAAAGGCCGUGGAAACUGACGAGCUAGAGUGCAGUAGGGGUAGAGGGAAUUCCCGGUGUAGCGGUGAAAUGUGUAGAGAUCCCGAGGAAUACCAGUGGUGAAGACGGCGCCCUGGGCCGAUACUGACGCUGAGAUGCGAAAGCGUGGGGAGCGAACGGG